AUUUCAUGAUGGGGACAUUCUAGGAUGUAGUCUUGGAAGCGCUCCCAUGCUUCUGGAACAGAUUCAUCAUGUUGUUGCUGAAAAGUUGUAAUUUUCCCAUGGGAAAG
Sorghum bicolor (sorghum) is the source of this 107-nucleotide small nucleolar RNA. It matches the Rfam family "Plant small nucleolar RNA R71". From Rfam's summary of the family: R71 is a member of the C/D box family of snoRNAs containing the C (UGAUGA) and D (CUGA) box motifs. Multiple nearly identical copies of this snoRNA have been identified in Arabidopsis, and it is thought to function as a 2'-O-ribose methylation guide for 18S ribosomal RNA. NCBI's taxonomy places the organism in Eukaryota, Viridiplantae, Streptophyta, Magnoliopsida, Poales, Poaceae. The record is from Rfam.